RNAcentral lists this ribosomal RNA (460 nucleotides) under uncultured bacterium. RNAcentral's name for it is "partial 16S ribosomal RNA". It matches the Rfam family "Bacterial small subunit ribosomal RNA", at positions 338 to 795 of the family's 1533-position model. The record is from RNAcentral.
CCUACGGGAGGCAGCAGUGAGGAAUAUUGGUCAAUGGCCGCAGGGCUGAACCAGCCAAGUCGCGUGAGGGAUGACGGUCCUAUGGAUUGUAAACCUCUUUUGUCAGGGAGCAACGCCGGCUACGUGUAGCCGGACUGAGAGUACCUGAAGAAAAAGCAUCGGCUAACUCCGUGCCAGCAGCCGCGGUAAUACGGAGGAUGCGAGCGUUAUCCGGAUUUAUUGGGUUUAAAGGGUGCGUAGGCGGAAUGCCAAGUCAGCGGUAAAAUCGCGGGGCUCAACCUCGCUCCGCCGUUGAAACUGGCGUUCUUGAGUGGGCGAGAAGUAUGCGGCAUGCGUGGUGUAGCGGUGAAAUGCAUAGAUAUCACGCAGAACUCCGAUUGCGAAGGCAGCAUACCGGCGCCCAACUGACGCUGAAGCACGAAAGCGUGGGUAUCGAACAGGAUUAGAUACCCUUGUAGUC